Long non-coding RNA from Trifolium pratense (red clover), 404 nucleotides. RefSeq lists it as uncharacterized. NCBI's taxonomy places the organism in Eukaryota, Viridiplantae, Streptophyta, Magnoliopsida, Fabales, Fabaceae. The record is from RefSeq and is a predicted model, not a curated record. The transcript has 4 exons.
GCAGUACUGUUCAUUCUAAACUUACAAGUAGGCUGCAGUAGGUUAUACAAAGUCUUCAACUCAUCAACAGAAAUAAAACCUGUGAGUGAAGACAAAAUCUGAUAUAACAACAUCCCCAAAAAGGUUAUAUUAUCACUGCUAACAGCAAUUGUAUCAGAAGCAAUUUUGGAUGCAACAUGUAAUUGAGGUAUGCAGUAGAUAUUCAGAAUGGACACGAAAGGAAUUUGUUGCCAAGAUCAGAGGCCAUGUUUGCUGAUUUCGGGCACUUAACGCAGUUAUCAAUCCAGAUUGCUUUUAUUUCAGUGAUAUGGGACAAGCUGCUUAUCUAUCAAAAGGCAUCAUGAAAUUGAGCAUGCAUAUCAUGCCUUCCUCAUAAAAUCAGAAAAACAAAUAGGGACCAAAAU